Molecule: ribosomal RNA, 468 nt
Filed under: uncultured bacterium
Lineage: Bacteria
Description: partial 16S ribosomal RNA
Rfam family: Bacterial small subunit ribosomal RNA
Source: RNAcentral
GACGAACGCUGGCGGCGUGCUUAACACAUGCAAGUCGAACGGAAAGGCCCUGCUUUUGUGGGGUGCUCGAGUGGCGAACGGGUGAGUAACACGUGAGUAACCUGCCCUUGACUUUGGGAUAACUUCAGGAAACUGGGGCUAAUACCGGAUAGGAGCUCCUGCUGCAUGGUGGGGGUUGGAAAGUUUCGGCGGUUGGGGAUGGACUCGCGGCUUAUCAGCUUGUUGGUGGGGUAGUGGCUUACCAAGGCUUUGACGGGUAGCCGGCCUGAGAGGGUGACCGGCCACAUUGGGACUGAGAUACGGCCCAGACUCCUACGGGAGGCAGCAGUGGGGAAUAUUGCACAAUGGGCGGAAGCCUGAUGCAGCAACGCCGCGUGCGGGAUGACGGCCCUCGGGUUGUAGACCGCUUUCGCCUGUGACGAAGCGUGAGUGACGGUAAUGGGUAAAGAAGCACCGGCUAACUACGUG